UAAAUUGGAAGCUUAAGCCUCUCUUCUUACCAUCACAAAGAUUGAGAACAUCUUCAUCUCUCUCUCUCUCUCUCUCUCUCUCUCUCUCUCUCUCUCUCUCUCUCUCUCUCUCUUUCAAUUAUGAGAUCGAAGUCUUCUUCUACUUCUUCUUCUUCUUCAUGGAGACAAGUGAGAAGGAGGAAGAUAAGAGUGAAGAGCAUGAUGUCCACGAGAAGGAAGCUCCACCAGCUCCUUUCCAUCGUCCCAGGCUGCCAUCAAACUCACCCCCAAAACUUGUUCCACACAAUCGCCACUUAUAUCCUCCUUUUGGAGCUCAAAGUCAGCCUCCUCACCACUCUCUCCUCCUCCUACGGAGUCUAAUGAAAAAGAAGAACACACGAGUGUUAACCUUUUGUGCAGGUUCUUAACCGCGACAUAAUUCUGGAGGAGGAAGAACUGAUUAGGAGGUAGUUCCAGCGAAAGAGCAUGAGAGAGAGAGAGAGAGAGAGAGAGAGAGAGAGAGAUAUUCAAUGUACAGGUCAAUCUUGUUAGUUCUCUCUUGAAACGUGUUAAUUGCUCCCCAAGUUUCACUUUAAGAGCAAACGAUCUUCCUUUACAUAGCGUACAUAUACUUUCUACAUACUUAAGUAACAAUUUUGUUGCUCCUAUAUUAAUUUAUCAUAGUUUGGGAUCAAACUAAAGUCAAGUUAUGUGAUGUUAUAAUCAUACAUACUAAUUACGUGGAUUGAUAUUGGUUUCUUGAGAUUCGAUGUUGUAUUCGGUAAUUCACCCCUCAGCUUGUGCGUCAUCCAUCACGGGUCUAUUCAGUAGCAGUACUCUCUAAAUGGUCAUUGCUAG
Molecule: long non-coding RNA, 837 nt
Filed under: Eucalyptus grandis
Lineage: Eukaryota; Viridiplantae; Streptophyta; Magnoliopsida; Myrtales; Myrtaceae
Description: long non-coding RNA (EGRA_LNC001377)
Source: RNAcentral